Selaginella moellendorffii is the source of this 1000-nucleotide long non-coding RNA. RefSeq lists it as uncharacterized. Lineage: Eukaryota; Viridiplantae; Streptophyta; Lycopodiopsida; Selaginellales; Selaginellaceae. The transcript is spliced from 5 exons. The record is from RefSeq and is a predicted model, not a curated record.
UUCAUACCUCCCCUCGCGGCAUUUGGUGCAAAGGAACCGAACUCAUCAACAAGGAUGAAAUUCCAACAGCUGGAGAAAAAGGACAAAGAUCUAAUACUCGUAGGUGUUCCCGAGUGGUCACCGAAAAGAGAAGCUUCGUGCGUCUUGAGCUAAAGAAACGCCAUCCAGAUCUAUCUCAGGAGGCACCUCAAGAAUCGCCAAUUUUCCUGUACGGCGUUGUUUCCCAAUUCCUCGUCCAUCCAGCUCCACCACCUUGCUAGAUUCUCUUGUGCACUCUCUCGGAUUUUUGCAUGUGAGUGUGGUGACCACACUGGCGAGCGUGUUGUUUGGAGGCGAAUUUGGGAAGCCAGCGAUUGGUUACAUUUAUGAAGCACACGACAAAGCUCGAAGAACCGGGAACAGGUUCUUGCUUGUACACUUGAAAAGUUUAUACUCUGCGUGUUUUGUGUGUCAGGGAGAACGACUUUUAUCCGAGAUUACUUGAGCAAAACACCAGAGUGAGAUGAUGGGCGAACGUCAGUUUCGCUCGACAGAGAUAGAUCCUCAUCCUUCGCUCCAUUCAAGCACAGCACAGCCGCAGCAGCGAUCGAUCCAGUGUCGCAUUAGGACGCGACUUAUAACGUCUUGCUCGUAAGCACAAAAGAGAACCGCAGGGAAGAUAAAACGAAGAACAAAAGAGAUGCUGCAAAAAUUCCCCCCCGCAAAGCUGUGCGCGAAAGCUUCUCUCACAUGGAUGACGUUGUCUGGUUGUUCCACACGCUUGGACGCAAUCAAUCAAUCAAUCAAUCAACCAGUCCAUCAAUCUUCUUUCCAUUCCAUUCCAAGCAAUCAGAGAAUUCCACUGCGCCAACUUUUCCAACCUAAUUGUUUCAUGGGCUUGCAUACGUCUGCUUUUGAGAAGGCGGUGCACUGAUCAAAUCGAAGAAGCCCCUGUAUGUAAAGAUUCCCUUUUUCCAGAAUCUUGCCCCACCACCUAUUAAGACCUAAUGAAGUUGACGUU